This 211-nucleotide unclassified non-coding RNA is filed under the name Hevea brasiliensis (rubber tree). The record is from RNAcentral. Lineage: Eukaryota; Viridiplantae; Streptophyta; Magnoliopsida; Malpighiales; Euphorbiaceae.
CGGGUAACGUGAGCCGAUCUCUCUGGCAACCAGUUCCUGGAACUAAGGUUUACAAGUUGAGGUAUGGUUCAAGGGUUCAGCUAGUGCUACAAGAUACAAGUAUUGUCACACCUGAGAAUCACCCAAUUCACCUUCAUGGAUAUGAUUUCUAUAUCAUUGCGGAAGGGUUUGGAAAUUUUAAUCCCCAGACUGAUACAUCUAAAUUUAACCU